CCUACGGGAGGCAGCAGUGGGGAAUUUUCCGCAAUGGGCGAAAGCCUGACGGAGCAACGCCGCGUGAGGGAUGAAGGCCUCUGGGCUGUAAACCUCUUUUAUCAAGGAAGAAGAUCUGACGGUACUUGAUGAAUAAGCCACGGCUAAUUCCGUGCCAGCAGCCGCGGUAAUACGGGAGUGGCAAGCGUUAUCCGGAAUUAUUGGGCGUAAAGCGUCCGCAGGCGGCCCUUCAAGCCUGCUGUUAAAACGUGGAGCUUAACUCCAUCAUGGCAGUGGAAACUGUUGGGCUUGAGUGUGGUAGGGGCAGAGGGAAUUCCCGGUGUAGCGGUGAAAUGCGUAGAUAUCGGGAAGAACACCAGUGGCGAAGGCGCUCUGCUGGGCCAUCACUGACGCUCAUGGACGAAAGCCAGGGGAGCGAAAGGGAUUAGAUACCCCUGUAGUCCUGGCCGUAAACGAUGAACACUAGGUGUCGGGGGAAUCGACCCCCUCGGUGUCGUAGCCAACGCGUUAAGUGUUCCGCCUGGGGAGUACGCACGCAAGUGUGAAACUCAAAGGAAUUGACGG
This 564-nucleotide ribosomal RNA is filed under the name uncultured bacterium. Its description in RNAcentral is "bacterial SSU rRNA". It matches the Rfam family "Bacterial small subunit ribosomal RNA", at positions 338 to 916 of the family's 1533-position model. The record is from RNAcentral.